This 628-nucleotide ribosomal RNA is filed under the name uncultured fungus. RNAcentral describes it as "eukaryotic LSU rRNA". The stretch from base 199 to 352 matches the Rfam family "5.8S ribosomal RNA". The record is from RNAcentral. Lineage: Eukaryota; Fungi.
AGUCGUAACAAGGUUUCCGUAGGUGAACCUGCGGAAGGAUCAUUAGUGAAUAUAGGACGUCCAACUUAACUUGGAGUCCGAACUCUCACUUUCUAACCCUGUGCACUUGUUUGGGAUAGUAACUCUCGCAAGAGAGCGAACUCCUAUUCACUUAUAAACACAAAGUCUAUGAAUGUAUUAAAUUUUAUAACAAAAUAAAACUUUCAACAACGGAUCUCUUGGCUCUCGCAUCGAUGAAGAACGCAGCGAAAUGCGAUAAGUAAUGUGAAUUGCAGAAUUCAGUGAAUCAUCGAAUCUUUGAACGCACCUUGCGCUCCAUGGUAUUCCGUGGAGCAUGCCUGUUUGAGUGUCAUGAAUACUUCAACCCUCCUCUUUCUUAAUGAUUGAAGAGGUGUUUGGUUUCUGAGCGCUGCUGGCCUUUACGGUCUAGCUCGUUCGUAAUGCAUUAGCAUCCGCAAUCGAACUUCGGAUUGACUUGGCGUAAUAGACUAUUCGCUGAGGAAUUCUAGUCUUCGGAUUAGAGCCGGGUUGGGUUAAAGGAAGCUUCUAAUCAGAAUGUCUACAUUUUAAGAUUAGAUCUCAAAUCAGGUAGGACUACCCGCUGAACUUAAGCAUAUCAAUAAGUCGU